This 465-nucleotide ribosomal RNA is filed under the name Vreelandella stevensii. RNAcentral's name for it is "partial 16S ribosomal RNA". It matches the Rfam family "Bacterial small subunit ribosomal RNA", at positions 338 to 795 of the family's 1533-position model. The record is from RNAcentral. Lineage: Bacteria; Pseudomonadati; Pseudomonadota; Gammaproteobacteria; Oceanospirillales; Halomonadaceae.
CCUACGGGUGGCUGCAGUGGGGAAUAUUGGACAAUGGGGGCAACCCUGAUCCAGCCAUGCCGCGUGUGUGAAGAAGGCCCUCGGGUUGUAAAGCACUUUCAGUGAGGAAGAACGCCUGGUGGUUAAUACCCAUCAGGAAAGACAUCACUCACAGAAGAAGCACCGGCUAACUCCGUGCUAGCAGCCGCGGUAAUACGGAGGGUGCGAGCGUUAAUCGGAAUUACUGGGCGUAAAGCGCGCGUAGGUGGCUUGAUAAGCCGGUUGUGAAAGCCCCGGGCUCAACCUGGGAACGGCAUCCGGAACUGUCAAGCUAGAGUGCAGGAGAGGAAGGUAGAAUUCCCGGUGUAGCGGUGAAAUGCGUAGAGAUCGGGAGGAAUACCAGUGGCGAAGGCGGCCUUCUGGACUGACACUGACACUGAGGUGCGAAAGCGUGGGUAGCAAACAGGAUUAGAUACCCGAGUAGUC